RNAcentral lists this ribosomal RNA (355 nucleotides) under uncultured Flavobacteriaceae bacterium. RNAcentral describes it as "bacterial LSU rRNA". It matches the Rfam family "Bacterial large subunit ribosomal RNA", at positions 1 to 374 of the family's 2925-position model. Lineage: Bacteria; Pseudomonadati; Bacteroidota; Flavobacteriia; Flavobacteriales; Flavobacteriaceae. The record is from RNAcentral.
GACAAGCAAAAGAAGGGCGUAUGGGGAAUGCCUAGGCUCUCAGAGGCGACGAAGGACGUGAUAAGCUGCGAAAAACCGCGGGGAGCUGCACAUGAGCAUUGAUCCGCGGGUAUCCGAAUGGGGCAACCCGGCUGGUUGAAGGCCAGUCACACCGCAGGUGGGCGAACCCGCUGAACUGAAACAUCUAAGUAGGCGGAGGAAGAGAAAACAAGAGUGAUUCCGAGAGUAGCGGCGAGCGAAAUCGGACUGGCCCAAACCGUUGUUGUUUAGGCAAUGACGGGGCUGUAGGACCACAAUGUUCUUUGCGCGACGAACCGGAGCAGUUGGAAAGCUGCACGAUAUGGGUGACAGUCCC